This 24-nucleotide microRNA is filed under the name Gallus gallus (chicken). RNAcentral describes it as "gga-miR-12254-5p". The record is from miRBase by way of RNAcentral. Lineage: Eukaryota; Metazoa; Chordata; Aves; Galliformes; Phasianidae.
UAUGGGGGCACAGAAGGGUCAUUG